This 405-nucleotide ribosomal RNA is filed under the name uncultured bacterium. RNAcentral's name for it is "bacterial SSU rRNA". It matches the Rfam family "Bacterial small subunit ribosomal RNA", at positions 355 to 776 of the family's 1533-position model. The record is from RNAcentral.
UAGGGAAUUUUGCGCAAUGGGGGAAACCCUGACGCAGCAACGCCGCGUGAUUGAUGAAGCCCUUCGGGGUGUAAAGAUCUGUCAGUGGGGACGAAACUUGACGGUACCCACAGAGGAAGCAUCGGCUAACUCCGUGCCAGCAGCCGCGGUAAUACGGGGGAUGCAAGCGUUGUCCGGAAUCAUUGGGCGUAAAGAGUUCGUAGGUGGCACGUUAAGUCUGGUGUUAAAUGCAGGGGCUCAACCUCUGUUCGGCACUGGAUACUGGCGAGCUUGAAUGCGGUAGAGGUAAAGGGAAUUCCUGGUGUAGCGGUGAAAUGCGUAGAUAUCAGGAGGAACAUCGGUGGCGUAAGCGCUUUACUGGGCCGUAAUUGACACUGAGGAACGAAAGCCAGGGUAGCAAAUGGG